This 1973-nucleotide long non-coding RNA is filed under the name Physcomitrium patens. RNAcentral's name for it is "long non-coding RNA (PPAT_LNC003317)". The record is from RNAcentral. Lineage: Eukaryota; Viridiplantae; Streptophyta; Bryopsida; Funariales; Funariaceae.
CCCCUUCCCUUUCCUUUCUUCAAUGGGGUUUGAUGAUCUCUAAAGGCAAAGGUUUCAUGAUCCACCCCCGAGUGACCUCUUCAAAGACCAUUUGCCCAUGAAUUUUGUGUUUGGUCCAUGAGAUGAGACCAAAAUAGACAUAUAAAAAUAACACACAUUUACACAUGAGAAGAAAAAGGAAAAAUAAAUAAAUGAAAAAUAAUAUUAUCAAUGAAAGUCAAAAUAAUAAUAAUAAAAAAAAAUGUGCACAUAUACAACUAAGCAAAGAAAAGGAGACUGAAGGAAGAGAAGGAAAAUAAAAGGAAAAAUAAAAGUAAGCUUGGCUUGGUCAUAGCACAUCAUCUUGUGUAGACUUCCAAAAGGUGGAUGUCAGUUUUUAGAUUUUAUUACGUUCUCCAUUUUUAUAUUAAUGUACACAUAAGUCAUUACAAUACUUUUCCCUUAAAGCAUUCAAAACUAUAGUCAUAUGAACAAAAUAAUGAAAAGUAUUUGAUUAAAUAAAAAUGUUGCAUGUUUGUGUGCACACACACAAACACUUGAUCCAAAGUAAGAAUAUCAUAUUAAUAAUUUAUUACCCAUGUUUGAUCAAAUUCAUGUUCAGUUUGUGCAUUUCCACAACCUAAAAAUUAUUCAACAACCCAAAAAGUUCUGUUGUAUGGUUUUUUUUUUAAAAAAAAAUUGGUGUUAUUCACAGAAAUAACUCCAUCUAUAGUAUAUCAAUAUUAUGUUUGUCUAUGAUGCCAAAAUCACUAAACAAAUAACCAAAAACCAAAAACUGGAGCAAUUGAUAUCUGAAACUGUUUCAUGCAUAAAAACAGUUGUAUUUUCAUAUUUCAUAUUUUUCAGAUGUGCGUGAUUGAUAAACAUUCUGUAAAAUUUUCAAAUUUUUGUUUAGAAAACUAAAUAUCGCAUUAUUUUAUCCAGGAAUCAAAAAUUUACAAAAAUCAAAGUGUAUGUGCUAAAUAUUAAAGUCAUUUUUUAAAAAAUAAAUUGAUUCUACAUCAGAUUAAACCCACUCAAAAGGACAAACAUUCUCACCUGGAGUAGAGGAAACAUAAGAAUUAAGGUAGUGCAUUUGGUGUUGAUUAUGCCCAUCAAUGGAAUUCACAAAACAUCAAAGAUACACUUAUGGAACAACAGUAGAUGUGCUAAAGAUUCAAACUUUGAUAAAACAAGAGAGAAGAGUAUGUGAAAUCUUUUCUCAGCCUGUUUCAAAAUAUUGCCACAUUUUUAAUUCACAAUUAAACACACAGUGACAUAAAUUUUAGCAUUAUUUAGCAGAAAUUUGCAGUAUAUAACUAUUAUAGGUUAUGGUAAAAUUUUAUCAUUGUAACAUAAAAUAUUUCGUUCUAAUUCUUAUAAGCAUCGUGCCAAAUUUCGUAUAUAUAUAUCCAAAAUAUGAUUUUUGUGUGGGUGUGUGAAGUGAUUUGAUGAGUUGUGAAGCAAAAGAUUCAGAGCACAUUGUUUGCAUUACGUAAAAAACGAAUUGACAGAUUUUGAAAUGUAACAUCUGUAAAUUUCAUCAAAUAAGAAAUUUGAUCUGUAUUUCAUGUUUACCUUGAAUUUUUAAAGAUUAAAAAAAAAAUCAUAUUAAAAAUAACUGAAACACAACAAUAUACACUCAUACACAAUAAAGGAUAAAAUAAAAUGGAAAUAUAAAAAGUGACUUAGCAUACGUGCUAAAUGUCUUAAAGGUUUGAAAAAAAAUUCUUUGCAAAGAUUCCAAACAUUUAAACUCACAAUUAAGAAAAAUUUAUAUUAAAUUAUAUGUAAUUUGAAUAAUAUAAAUAUAAAUAUAAAUAUUAUUUCACUUACAAUAAUUAUUAAAUGAGUUUAUAACUGACUUUCAGAUGGCAUAUAUAGAGUAGAGAAUGUUUAAAACUUAAGUAUAUGGAAUAAAAUUUUGGUGAUUUUAUUUUAAUGCCAACGCUUCAUGAGUUCUGUAGUAGCACAGCAACAUAAUGGAAUCCUGA